UUCACCUCUCUCUCCCUCUUGCCCACACAAGAUAAACGUUCUCGAAAGGUAACUAAUGACAGAGAGGACGACUAAACGUAUGGCUGAGAGAUAAAGAUAAAGAGAGAUGCUCCGUAAUGUGAAAGCGCCGAGCGACUAAGUAAGAGGAAGAACUAUAAGAGUGAGAGAGACUACAGCAGAGAGGGCGAGAGCUUAUACAAGAAGCUGCUACUUAGGGGAGCCCCGUUUAGUUGUUGUGGGUGUGUUGCCCUUCCGCUAGUCAACAUCCCUUUUUGCAGUGGCGAUGCAGUGAUGGAUUUCACGAACGCAUUCGACUUGGUUGGGUUCUCCGGCGCAUUCAUCGUCAAAGGUUCAAUGAAUCUUUCUGGGACUCUCAGACUGAAACCACUAAACACUGAUCGAUUAAUUAACGAAUUUUACACAAUCAAAUCUUCAACAAAUAUAUUCACAUAAAGAAAUUGUGUUCGA
This is a long non-coding RNA of Drosophila willistoni, 468 nucleotides long. RefSeq lists it as uncharacterized. The transcript has 3 exons. NCBI's taxonomy places the organism in Eukaryota, Metazoa, Arthropoda, Insecta, Diptera, Drosophilidae. The record is from RefSeq and is a predicted model, not a curated record.